GGUCCGGGCGUUAUCCGGAUUUAUUGGGUUUAAAGGGAGCGUAGGCCGGAGAUUAAGCGUGUUGGGAAAUGUAGUGGCUCAACCUCUGCACUGCAGCGCGAACUGGUCUUCUUGAGUACGCACAACGUGGGCGGAAUUCGUGGUGUAGCGGUGAAAUGCUUAGAUAUCACGAAGAACUCCGAUUGCGAAGGCAGCAUACGGUAGCGUUACUGACGCUGAAGCUCGAAGGCGCGGGUAUC
RNAcentral lists this ribosomal RNA (239 nucleotides) under uncultured bacterium. Its description in RNAcentral is "partial 16S ribosomal RNA". It matches the Rfam family "Bacterial small subunit ribosomal RNA", at positions 531 to 769 of the family's 1533-position model. The record is from RNAcentral.